Molecule: non-coding RNA, 542 nt
Organism: Camellia sinensis
Lineage: Eukaryota; Viridiplantae; Streptophyta; Magnoliopsida; Ericales; Theaceae
Source: RefSeq, a predicted model, not a curated record
UAUUUUCUUUUUGUAUAUACGUCUCUCUCUCUCUCUCUCUCUCUCUCUCUCUUCUCCUUCUCUCUCCUUUCUCUCCAUCGACAUCUCACACAAACACACGAGCACCACCAGCCACUGCCCCUCCGAUGAUGUUAGUUACACGAGCACCAAUCGAUUGAUUCCGAGCUUGGCAUUUGAUUCCAAUUCUGAGCCUUGGAUUAAUUUGUUUCAUUUCAACUUUAUGAUCUCAAACAGCAAGGGUUCAUAGAGAGACAGGAGCUUAUGAGGUUUUAAUAUGUCAAAAUGAGGCUGAAAAAUGCUUAAUUGAAACGUCUAUAAAUUCAUUGCGCAUAAGCCUCAAGAAGCAUUUCAAGUAUUGAGGAGAAAGCCAGUACAGGUAUGUAUUGUCUCAUCUCAUUUAAUUGUUUUUGCACAUUGCUAUGCAAAAUUCAUGAUGCUUGACAGAAAACACAGUGCUGAUUGAUUGGCAAUAAUUUGCUUCAAGAUGAAAUUUUACUUAGUGCUGUUUUGGGAACAUUAGUAAAAAGCAGCGUUUUCAUGCA